RNAcentral lists this transfer RNA (72 nucleotides) under Trichonephila inaurata madagascariensis. It matches the Rfam family "tRNA". From Rfam's summary of the family: Transfer RNA (tRNA) molecules are approximately 80 nucleotides in length. Lineage: Eukaryota; Metazoa; Arthropoda; Arachnida; Araneae; Nephilidae. The record is from Rfam by way of RNAcentral.
AAGGAUAUAGCUCAGUGGUAGAGCAUUCGACUGCCGAUCGAGUGGUUCCCGGUUCAAACUCGGGAGUCUUCU